UGGGAGUUCGUAAUUCCCAGUCCCUGCAGACUCAUCAGAUAAAUCCGAAUCAUGGUCCACAAGUUGCCAACCACUAAGUGGCUUAUCCAAUUAAGGAUCCAGAGUUGUUUGCUCUGGGAGGUUAGACAAAGGCUUAAUUAUGGCAAAGGCCUAAGUCCUCCUCAAUGUCUGUGAAGACACUUGAUUCAAGAGAAUCAUCAACCAUAAGUUCACAACGUGAAAUGGAAUGAACCGUAGUUGCUUCCGUCAAUUCUUUCAACAACUUGUGAGCUUUCAAUACCAAUUAUUAUUAUAUGUACCUCACAAGUGUUUCACUCUUCUCAAUCUCCUAUGUGUUUGCACUCACUCAUGCUCACAUAUUUUUCAUUCUGAUAUCUCACUGGUUCUUCUCAGACUCUCACCAAGUGUUUAACUCUCAAUGUUUGGCUCACAGUGUUUCUCUCAGCACUCAAAGUAUGGUCUUCUGUACCUGCAUGAGAAAAUCACCAUAGCCCCUUCAAGAGAGGUCACUGGCGGUGCAAUGGGGUUUCGUAAAUCCCCGAUCCUCAACCGACUCAUCAAUAAAUUGACUCAUAGUCAGAGAGUUGCCGAUCUCCUAUAAAUAGGAAAUCCAUUCCAAUUGGAUCCAGAUCUGUUCUUAUCUGGGGAGGGAGACGAGAAUCCUGAAGAUUUGGCAAUUGAGAUCCUCGUUUCCUCCUUACACCUGUAAAGGCAUCAACCAUCUUAUCUACCGUAAAAUGGUAAAUGAAGAAGUUGCUUCUGGAACAAAACCUUUAACCUUA
RNAcentral lists this long non-coding RNA (782 nucleotides) under Daucus carota (carrot). RNAcentral's name for it is "long non-coding RNA (DCAR_LNC002704)". Lineage: Eukaryota; Viridiplantae; Streptophyta; Magnoliopsida; Apiales; Apiaceae. The record is from RNAcentral.